UACGAAGGGGGCUAGCGUUGCUCGGAAUCACUGGGCGUAAAGCGCACGUAGGCGGCUUGUUAAGUCAGGGGUGAAAUCCUGGAGCUCAACUCCAGAACUGCCUUUGAUACUGGCGAGCUUGAGUCCGAGAGAGGUGAGUGGAACUGCGAGUGUAGAGGUGAAAUUCGUAGAUAUUCGCAAGAACACCAGUGGCGAAGGCGGCUCACUGGCUCGGUACUGACGCUGAGGUGCGAAAGCGUGGGGAGCAAACAGG
RNAcentral lists this ribosomal RNA (253 nucleotides) under uncultured bacterium. RNAcentral describes it as "partial 16S ribosomal RNA". It matches the Rfam family "Bacterial small subunit ribosomal RNA", at positions 524 to 776 of the family's 1533-position model. The record is from RNAcentral.